GCUUUUUAAAUUAUUUUCAAAUGGUCCCGUUUUUGCCGCGAUACCUUCAACCAAUCAGAGCACUCGUCAUGAUUUGACGAACGACGAAUCAGAUUUCCUGCUAGGCAACAUCGACGAAUGAAAUCCACCUUGUUUUGAAAUCUUUGGUCGUCGUAGAAGCGAAACUGGGAUAGGGAAGUUGAAGCGAAGAAGAAGAAUAUUUAGUACAGUACUGUUUACAUUGGACAAAUGCGUGCCCGUGCGAUCAGGGUUGCCGGUUCGGUUUGAAAUUUAGAACUCCCGCCGUGUUCACUUCAAGAACGCACAACGUGGCAUCAUAGUAAGCAAGUACGGGGUUUGCUUCAGCGCGUUCUUACGGGAGUUUCGCUUCUGAUUGCGAAGCAUCAUUAUUCUAUGACACUACUCACAGCGUAAUCUGUAAUCUUUGGUGGUAAUGUUUUUGUUAUCAUCGUAAAUUCAAAAGCGCGCCCAAAGUUCGUUACAGCGUCCGCGGAUUAUGGUUUCCUUUUUCUCAUGUAAAAAUUUGCGAUAACAUUCCCUCUCGUGUGUUUUCCUCCAAAUCUAAAUCAUUCGUUUCAGUUAAUUUUGGAGCUCACCUUUGCACCUAUAAUGAAGACUACCAACAAAGCUGAGCAAUCUACAUCAACGGCCAAGAAAGCCCCAGUGAAAGGUUUUCGGAAACUGCUUCAACCUUUGCAAGUGUCUGCAACAGACAAAGAAAAUUUGGUUGGUGCAGGUCGAUCUGCUCCCUUUAAGGACGUUCUGGAAAAGCCUGGCUCUAAACAGAAGGAAACCAGAGAGAUUGAAAAGCCUGUCAAAACAACUAUUACAUUUGAUAAACCAUCAAAUCUGCUAUCACAAUUGAAGAUUUGACCUCAGGUAAAGUCUUAAACGUUGAUGAUACAUUAUUACAAGAGCAAUAAGAGGUAGUCUGUUUUGACGUAUUGAUAUCUAUCAGGAUUGUUCGCCAAAAAGCUACUUCUGAAUGUCGGGAAAAACUUGAAGGCUCCUUACAAUAUAUUGAAAAGCUCUCUUGAAAAAGUUAUUUUUAAAAGCUAUAGGAAAUCACUGAUUAGUUUUUUUUUUUUUUUUUUUUUUUUUUUUUUUUUUUAGAAUUAAUUGCCUCCAAUAAACUUUCCAACAUUGAAUUAGCUUCACCAACCAUUUUUCCAAGAAAAUCGUCUGGAUGUCUUUUCACGAAAUUUCAAGUCUGAUCUCCUGUGAAAGUGUGAAAUACAGUAAUUGAGGCACUGGAUGUGAAAAGGGCACUUCUUGGUUGCAGUGAUUCAGAGUCCCUCUAAUAUUUCAUUCGUUGUAAGGAGAGUGAAUGCAUCCAUUUCAGCAAAAAAUUUUACUGAAUAUUUCUUAUGAUUCUACAAUUUUCUAUGGAAAGAAUUCUGGAAACAGCACCCAUUAAAGUCGUCUCCAAGGGAUUAAUUAGCAACAGAGAUUCUGAAACCACGCAAUCGAGAAGUGCCCUCUUUGCGUCCAGAGCCUCAAUUGAUGAUAUUCCUCUAGGGAAAAUGCAAUGAAAUUCGUUCAGUACAUGCUUUGACUCCAGCAGACUUCAGUUUCAUGCUGUGGGAGAAGUUUAAAUCAAUGAACGAAAAGCUCACUUACCUUUGAGUUUCUUAGCCUAUUUAUUAAACUCCCAAAUUCAUCAUGUAUCGAAGUAGAGAAAUACAAGAUAUGGACUACUUUCUAUGAUUUGGAACUUUUUAAAGCCUUUUCAAAUUUCUGCAAAAUUUUUGCCGGAGUCUAUUUUCUGAAAAUUUCUGCCAAAAUGUGCUUCUAGUUUUUUUUUGCCAAAUUUCACCAUUAGGUAGCUUCGAAAAAGAGAGUCAUCACUCUUUUGUAAAUAUCUUCUAAUGCUUAUUAGCCUUACACAUGCCACAUAGAUGCAGUAGGAUUUGCGUCUCAUGUCCAGAUUACAAUUUUGAGUUUUUUAAGUUUCUGAAGUUUCCGCACCCUUGACAGGAGGUUGGAUGAAACUAGCCCUUAAAAAAUAAAGAGAAUGUAUAAAUGACACAGAAUCUUAGAAGUGUUUCUGAAUAUCUGUAUGAGUCUUAUCCAUCUGUAUUUUCAGAUACUCCCAGUGCAAACUACUGGGAACUAAAGUGCAAGCAGCUCACCAAAUCUUUGGAAGAAACACUGACUGAAAACAGAGUCCUGCACGAACGGAUCAAACUUUAGAGGAAGAAAUGAGUUGUGCAAGCAACAGUUGUACGAAACUGCUGAAUCGUCACUUGCCUAACU
This 2256-nucleotide long non-coding RNA is filed under the name Bemisia tabaci. RNAcentral describes it as "lncRNA ENSSSA3NGG001433". Lineage: Eukaryota; Metazoa; Arthropoda; Insecta; Hemiptera; Aleyrodidae. The record is from RNAcentral.